GAUGAACGCUGGCGGCGUGCCUAAUACAUGCAAGUCGAGCGAACGGACGAGAAGCUUGCUUCUCUGAUGUUGGCGGCGGACGGGUGAGUAACACGUGGAUAACCUACCUAUAAGACUGGGAUAACUUCGGGAAACCGUAGCUAAUACCGGAUAAUAUUUUGAACCGCAUGGUUCAAAAGUGAAAGACGGUCUUGCUGUCACUUAUAGAUGGAUCCGCGCUGCAUUAGCUAGUUGGUAAGGUAACGGCUUACCAAGGCAACGAUGCAUAGCCGACCUGAGAGGGUGAUCGGCCACACUGGAACUGAGACACGGUCCAGACUCCUACGGGAGGCAGCAGUAGGGAAUCUUCCGCAAUGGGCGAAAGCCUGACGGAGCAACGCCGCGUGAGUGAUGAAGGUCUUCGGAUCGUAAAACUCUGUUAGUAGGGAAGAACAUAUGUGUAAGUAACUGUGCACAUCCUGACGGUACCUAAUCAGAAAGCCACGGCUAACUACGUG
Molecule: ribosomal RNA, 497 nt
Filed under: uncultured bacterium
Lineage: Bacteria
Description: partial 16S ribosomal RNA
Rfam family: Bacterial small subunit ribosomal RNA
Source: RNAcentral